This 440-nucleotide ribosomal RNA is filed under the name uncultured bacterium. RNAcentral's name for it is "partial 16S ribosomal RNA". It matches the Rfam family "Bacterial small subunit ribosomal RNA", at positions 338 to 795 of the family's 1533-position model. The record is from RNAcentral.
CCUACGGGUGGCAGCAGUGGGGAAUAUUGGGCAAUGGAGGAAACCCUGAUGCAGCAACGCCGCGUGGAGGAUGAAGGUUUUAGGAUUGUAAACUACUUUUGUCAGAGAAGAUAAUGACGGUAUCUCUCGACUAAGCACCGGCUAACUCCGUGCCAGCAGCCGCGGUAAUACGGAGGGUGCAAGCGUUACUCGGAAUCACUGGGCGUAAAGAGUGUGCAGGCGGGCUUGUAAGUCAGAUGUGAAAUCCCGUGGCUUAACUACAGAACUGCAUUUGAAACUAUGAGUCUAGAGUGUGGGAGAGGUAGGUGGAAUUCUUGGUGUAGGGGUAAAAUCCGUAGAGAUCAAGAGGAAUACUCAUUGCGAAGGCGACCUACUGGAACAUUACUGACGCUCAUGCACGAAAGCGUGGGGAGCAAACAGGAUUAGAUACCCUUGUAGUC